AACGCACAUUGCGCCCUUUGGUAUUCCGAAGGGCAUGCCUGUUCGAGCGUCAUUAUCACCCCUCAAGCCUCGGCUUGGUGUUGGGCUUCAGUUAUAGCCGUCUACAACUGGCCUUAAAGAUAGUGACGGCGUCCCAGAAGGAACCGGUACGAGGAGCUUCUAAUCAAGCAUGUACGCGGGAUGAUUCUGUGGGCGACGGUCUUUUUACACUGCUCUUAGCUGAGUAUUUUUCAAGUGUUGACCUCGGAUCAGGUAGGAAUACCCGCUGAACUUAA
Molecule: unclassified non-coding RNA, 275 nt
Filed under: uncultured Ascomycota
Lineage: Eukaryota; Fungi; Ascomycota
Description: sequence contains ITS2
Rfam family: 5.8S ribosomal RNA (bases 1-52)
Source: RNAcentral